GCUAGGAUGAACGCUAGCUGCAGGCUUAACACAUGCAAGUCGAGGGGCAGCGAUGGUCUUAGCUUGCUAAGACUGAUGGCGACCGGCGCACGGGUGAGUAACGCGUAUCCAACCUUCCCCAUAGUAGGGAAUAGCCCGGCGAAAGUCGGAUUAAUGCCCUAUGUUCUUCAAUGCAGACAUCUAGGUUGAAGCAAAGAUUCAUCGCUAUGGGAUGGGGAUGCGUCUGAUUAGGUGCAGGCGGGUAACGGCCCACCUGGCCGACGAUCAGUAGGGGUUCUGAGAGGAAGGUCCCCCACAUUGGUACUGAGACACGGACCAAACUCCUACGGGAGGCAGCAGUGAGGAAUAUUGGUCAAUGGGCGCGAGCCUGAACCAGCCAAGUAGCGUGCAGGAAGACUGCCCUAUGGGUUGUAAACUGCUUUUAUGCGGGAAUAAAGUCAGGUACGUGUACCUGUUUGUAUGUACCGCAUGAAUAAGGACCGGCUAAUUCCGUGCCAGCCGCGGC
Molecule: ribosomal RNA, 505 nt
Filed under: uncultured bacterium
Lineage: Bacteria
Description: bacterial SSU rRNA
Rfam family: Bacterial small subunit ribosomal RNA
Source: RNAcentral